Molecule: ribosomal RNA, 550 nt
Filed under: Staphylococcus sp.
Lineage: Bacteria; Bacillati; Bacillota; Bacilli; Caryophanales; Staphylococcaceae
Description: bacterial SSU rRNA
Rfam family: Bacterial small subunit ribosomal RNA
Source: RNAcentral
GAGUAACACGUGGAUAACCUACCUAUAAGACUGGGAUAACUUCGGGAAACCGGAGCUAAUACCGGAUAACAUAUUGAACCGCAUGGUUCAAUAGUGAAAGGCGGCUUUGCUGUCACUUAUAGAUGGAUCCGCGCCGUAUUAGCUAGUUGGUAAGGUAACGGCUUACCAAGGCAACGAUACGUAGCCGACCUGAGAGGGUGAUCGGCCACACUGGAACUGAGACACGGUCCAGACUCCUACGGGAGGCAGCAGUAGGGAAUCUUCCGCAAUGGGCGAAAGCCUGACGGAGCAACGCCGCGUGAGUGAUGAAGGUCUUCGGAUCGUAAAACUCUGUUAUCAGGGAAGAACAAAUGUGUAAGUAACUGUGCACAUCUUGACGGUACCUGAUCAGAAAGCCGCGGGCUAACUACGUGCCAGCAGCCGCGGUAAUACGUAGGUGGCAAGCGUUAUCCGGAAUUAUUGGGGCGUAAAGCGCGCGUAGGCGGUUUUUUAAGUCUGAUGUGAAAACCCCACGGCUCAACCGUGGGAGGGUCAUUGGAAACUGGAAAAC